Pyrgilauda ruficollis (rufous-necked snowfinch) is the source of this 941-nucleotide long non-coding RNA. RefSeq lists it as uncharacterized. The transcript is spliced from 3 exons. NCBI's taxonomy places the organism in Eukaryota, Metazoa, Chordata, Aves, Passeriformes, Passeridae. The record is from RefSeq and is a predicted model, not a curated record.
UUGCAGUGGCACAGGGGGUGACAGCAUGGCGGGGAGGUGACAGCAGUGGUGACACAGAGGUGACAGCAGUGACACAGAGUCCCCGCGGGGCAGGGCACAGACUGAGGUUCGAGGUGGACGCCUCCUCUCCGGGCGCGGGCGGCUGCUGCGGGGACGGCUCCAGCUACGAGAUCCUGAGCCGCAGCACGCGCUUCGGGGACCCCCACCCCGGGGGCAGCCCCUGCGCCGGCUGCUGCCGCUGAGCCCCCCGGGACCCCCACCCACCUCGGCCUUUGGGGGGCUUUUGUUGGUUUUUCUUAUUUUUAAAUUUUAUUUUGGAUUUUUUUUGUUGGUUUUUUUUUUCCAGCCGUUUUGUUUGUACGGGAUAAAUAAAUAAGGAGCGAGCUUUAAUUGCGGCUGGCGUGCUGGGGGCGGGGCUAUGCUAAUGAGCAGUGUGGUUUAUACGCUAUUAUAAAAUAUGUUAAUGAGGGGGGCGUGGUAACAGCAUAGGGGCGGGUUCUAGCGACGCCAAAGCCGCGCGCCGGAAGUGACGUCACACAGCGCGCCGCCGCCAUGAUGCCGCCCGCCGCCCUCAUCGCCCGCUCCCUCCUGCGCUCCGCCGCCCGCCCUGGCCCGGCCCCGCGGGGGCUCCGCUCGGGGCCCGCGCAGAGCCCCGUGAGCGCCGCGGAGUCCGCCCUGGGCCUGGCCGCCGUGUUCGCCUCGUUCUUCGUGCCCGCGGCCUGGGUGCUCGGCCGCAUCCACGACUACCGGAAACGCGAGGGGGAGGAGGAGUGACCGCGCCGGCACCGCCGGAACCGGGACCGGGAACGGGAACGGGACCAGCACCGGGAACGGGACCAGCACCGGGACCAGCACCGGGACCAGCACCGCGACCAGCGGAGCCGCCCCCGCCAUGGGACCCCCCCGAGCCCCCGCCCCAAUAAAGCCGCGGAUCUCCCUGA